AUUGAACGCUGGCGGCAUGCCUUACACAUGCAAGUCGAACGGCAGCAUGAUCUAGCUUGCUCGAUUGAUGGCGAGUGGCGAACGGGUGAGUAAUACAUCGGAACGUGCCCUGUAGUGGGGGAUAACUAGUCGAAAGAUUAGCUAAUACCGCAUACGACCUGAGGGUGAAAGUGGGGGACCGCAAGGCCUCAUGCUAUAGGAGCGGCCGACGUCUGAUUAGCUAGUUGGUGAGGUAAAGGCCCACCAAGGCGACGAUCAGUAGCUGGUCUGAGAGGACGAUCGGCCACACUGGGACGUGAACACGGCCCAGACUCCUACGGGAGGCAGCAGUGGGGAAUUUUGGACAAUGGGCGAAAGCCUGAUCCAGCAAUGCCGCGUGUGUGAAGAAGGCCUUCGGGUUGUAAAGCACUUUUGUCCGGAAAGAAAUGGCUCUGGUUAAUACCUGGGGUCGAUGACGGUACCGGAAGAAUAAGGACCGGCUAACUACGUG
Molecule: ribosomal RNA, 490 nt
Filed under: uncultured bacterium
Lineage: Bacteria
Description: partial 16S ribosomal RNA
Rfam family: Bacterial small subunit ribosomal RNA
Source: RNAcentral